CUUUUCUCAUUUUUCCAAUCCCUUUCAACAAGCCUCUAAUAUUUUUUCAGCCUUGCUUUUGAGGGGAAGGCACAAAGUGAGGCAGAUAUACUGAACAAGGGGAUAUCAAAGGCUGAAUUUCCCCUAUUGCUUUAACCACAUGAAAGCUCUCCAAAUGUAUUCCCUUGCUCCUCUUAGUGGUUUGUAUAAUGAGAUCAGUGGAAGUGAGCACUAACAUCUCCCUGUUCCAUUUGCAGCUGCUGGGAGCUGAAGGAUAGCUGUGCUAUGGUAAUGAUUCUAUUUGAAAAGGGAAUAUUUGCUACUGCAUUCUUUCUUACAGGUUUUGCUGAAAUCUGCAUGUAGCUGGCACUAACUGAAUUCAGAGAAAAAAAUCCAAAAUAAAACCACAGAAGGUCUCAUAGGAAAGAUGUAAAGAAGAUUUACACUGACCAGGCAAGAACAGGUAUAGCACAGACUGGAAUUGAGGAAUACUUCAGCACAUAAAAACUUGAUGUAGUAUCUCCACAGAGAUGUAAGAAGUAAUCAUUCACAAACAAAUGCUAAAAGUUAUUAGGCAUCGGGCUGAAGCAGACAAACACAGGUGCAUGAACACAGAGAUUUCACAGACAAUGGAGCCAGAGCAGAAGACAUCACAAAAACAGGAGCAGCAUUCCCAAAGCCCACAGAGGAGUAGGAAGAAUGGAUCAUUUCUCAAAAGCUGA
This 701-nucleotide long non-coding RNA is filed under the name Zonotrichia albicollis (white-throated sparrow). RNAcentral describes it as "lncRNA (ENSZALG00000016758.1)". The record is from RNAcentral. Lineage: Eukaryota; Metazoa; Chordata; Aves; Passeriformes; Passerellidae.